GCGUGCCUAAUACAUGCAAGUCGAGCGAACCGACGGGAGCUUGCUCCCUUAGGUUAGCGGCGGACGGGUGAGUAACACGUGGGUAACCUGCCUGUAAGACUGGGAUAACUCCGGGAAACCGGGGCUAAUACCGGAUGCUUGAUUGAACCGCAUGGUUCAAUUAUAAAAGGUGGCUUUUAGCUACCACUUACAGAUGGACCCGCGGCGCAUUAGCUAGUUGGUGAGGUAACGGCUCACCAAGGCGACGAUGCGUAGCCGACCUGAGAGGGUGAUCGGCCACACUGGGACUGAGACACGGCCCAGACUCCUACGGGAGGCAGCAGUAGGGAAUCUUCCGCAAUGGACGAAAGUCUGACGGAGCAACGCCGCGUGAGUGAUGAAGGUUUUCGGAUCGUAAAACUCUGUUGUUAGGGAAGAACAAGUACCGUUCGAACAGGGCGGUACCUUGACGGUACCUAACCAGAAAGCCACGGCUAACUACGUGCCAGCAGCCGCGGUAAUACGUAGGUGGCAAGCGUUGUCCGGAAUUAUUGGGCGUAAAGCGCGCGCAGGCGGUUUCUUAAGUCUGAUGUGAAAGCCCCCGGCUCAACCGGGGAGGGUCAUUGGAAACUGGGGAACUUGAGUGCAGAAGAGGAGAGUGGAAUUCCACGUGUAGCGGUGAAAUGCGUAGAGAUGUGGAGGAACACCAGUGGCGAAGGCGACUCUCUGGUCUGUAACUGACGCUGAGGCGCGAAAGCGUGGGGAGCGAACAGGAUUAGAUACCCUGGUAGUCCACGCCGUAAACGAUGAGUGCUAAGUGUUAGAGGGUUUCCGCCCUUUAGUGCUGCAGCAAACGCAUUAAGCACUCCGCCUGGGGAGUACGGUCGCAAGACUGAAACUCAAAGGAAUUGACGGGGGCCCGCACAAGCGGUGGAGCAUGUGGUUUAAUUCGAAGCAACGCGAAGAACCUUACCAGGUCUUGACAUCCUCUGACACCCCUAGAGAUAGGGCUUCCCCUUCGGGGGCAGAGUGACAGGUGGUGCAUGGUUGUCGUCAGCUCGUGUCGUGAGAUGUUGGGUUAAGUCCCGCAACGAGCGCAACCCUUGAUCUUAGUUGCCAGCAUUCAGUUGGGCACUCUAAGGUGACUGCCGGUGACAAACCGGAGGAAGGUGGGGAUGACGUCAAAUCAUCAUGCCCCUUAU
RNAcentral lists this ribosomal RNA (1181 nucleotides) under Bacillus sonorensis. RNAcentral's name for it is "bacterial SSU rRNA". It matches the Rfam family "Bacterial small subunit ribosomal RNA", at positions 42 to 1205 of the family's 1533-position model. The record is from RNAcentral. Lineage: Bacteria; Bacillati; Bacillota; Bacilli; Caryophanales; Bacillaceae.